This is a non-coding RNA of Schizosaccharomyces pombe (fission yeast), 276 nucleotides long. NCBI's taxonomy places the organism in Eukaryota, Fungi, Ascomycota, Schizosaccharomycetes, Schizosaccharomycetales, Schizosaccharomycetaceae. The record is from the annotation of a GenBank genome assembly.
GCCACUGCCAUGCUUUUUGUUUAUGUAUAGCACAUCAAAUUCAGCUUGAAACUGUCAAAUAUCAACUCGUUCAACGCUUUUACAGUGCCUACAAUCUCUAAAAAAUUGUACAUUUCUGAAACUCAAAUUGUAUAAAUCAAAACUAUGAUUGCAUUCAGAUUCGUUUUUCACAAACCAAAGCAGAAGGUAAUGCUGAAAUACCAAUAUCAAAUUAGCGUUUCCUAAGGAGAUUUACAGCCAAAAGCCUUUUCCGAAUACAAUCGCAAUAUCUUUCUA